Molecule: ribosomal RNA, 464 nt
Filed under: uncultured bacterium
Lineage: Bacteria
Description: partial 16S ribosomal RNA
Rfam family: Bacterial small subunit ribosomal RNA
Source: RNAcentral
CUACGGGCUGCUCCAGUGGGGAAUAUUGGACAAUGGGGGCAACCCUGAUCCAGCCAUGCCGCGUGUGUGAAGAAGGCCUUAGGGUUGUAAAGCACUUUCAGAUGUGAGGAAAGGUGUGUGCUUAAUACGUACAUACUGUGACGUUAGCAUCAGAAGAAGGACCGGCUAACUCCGUGCCAGCAGCCGCGGUAAUACGGAGGGUCCGAGCGUUAAUCGGAAUUACUGGGCGUAAAGCGCGCGUAGGUGGCUUCGUCAGUCAGAUGUGAAAGCCCCGGGCUCAACCUGGGAAUUGCACCUGAUACUGCGGAACUCGAGUACGAUAGAGGGGAGUGGAAUUUCCGGUGUAGCGGUGAAAUGCGUAGAGAUCGGAAGGAACACCAGUGGCGAAGGCGACUCCCUGGAUUGAUACUGACACUGAGGUGCGAAAGCGUGGGGAGCAAACAGGAUUAGAUACCCGUGUAGUC